GGUGAUCUAGCCAUGGGCAGGUUGAAGGUUGGGUAACACUAACUGGAGGACCGAACCGACUAAUGUUGAAAAAUUAGCGGAUGACUUGUGGCUGGGGGUGAAAGGCCAAUCAAACCGGGAGAUAGCUGGUUCUCCCCGAAAGCUAUUUAGGUAGCGCCUCGUGAAUUCAUCUCCGGGGGUAGAGCACUGUUUCGGCAAGGGGGUCAUCCCGACUUACCAACCCGAUGCAAACUGCGAAUACCGGAGAAUGUUAUCACGGGAGACACACGGCGGGUGCUAACGUCCGUCGUGAAGAGGGAAACAACCCAGACCGCCAGCUAAGGUCCCAAAGUCAUGGUUAAGUGGGAAACGAUGUGGGAAGGCCCAGACAGCCAGGAUGUUGGCUUAGAAGCAGCCAUCAUUUAAAGAAAGCGUAAUAGCUCACUGGUCGAGUCGGCCUGCGCGGAAGAUGUAACGGGGCUAAACCAUGCAC
Molecule: ribosomal RNA, 472 nt
Filed under: Escherichia coli
Lineage: Bacteria; Pseudomonadati; Pseudomonadota; Gammaproteobacteria; Enterobacterales; Enterobacteriaceae
Description: partial 23S ribosomal RNA
Rfam family: Bacterial large subunit ribosomal RNA
Source: RNAcentral